CGAACGCUGGCGGCGUGCCUAACACAUGCAAGUCAACUUGACUGAAGGAGCAAUCUGACAGUAGAGUGGCGCAAGGGUGCGUAACGCGUAAGUAACUUGCCCCAAGGUAAGGAAUAACGUCGAGAAAUCGGCGCUAAUACCUCAUAAUGCAGCGGAUCCACAUGGAUAUGUCGUUAAAGAUUUACCGCCUUGGGAUAGGCUUGCGUCUGAUUAGCUAGUUGGUGUGGUAACGGCACACCAAGGCUACGAUCAGUAACUGGUCUGAGAGGAUGAUCAGUCACACUGGAACUGAGACACGGUCCAGACUCCUACGGGAGGCAGCAGUGAGGAAUAUUGGGCAAUGCUCGAAAGAGUGACCCAGCAACGCCGCGUGGAGGAUGAAGGUAUUCUAUAUCGUAAACUCCUGUGAGAGCAGACGAGAGACAGAUUAUUAAUCUGGAUGACUGUAUGCUCAGAGGAAGCCCCGGCUAACUACGUG
RNAcentral lists this ribosomal RNA (478 nucleotides) under uncultured bacterium. Its description in RNAcentral is "bacterial SSU rRNA". It matches the Rfam family "Bacterial small subunit ribosomal RNA", at positions 30 to 507 of the family's 1533-position model. The record is from RNAcentral.